UCCGUAGGUGAACCUGCGGAAGGAUCAUUAACGUAUAACAAAUUUCUUAAAAUUUGUAAAAUACAAUAACUUUUAAAAGUGUUAACGCACGAACAAAUAUAAAUCAACACAAAAUUAAAUGAGCCUUCAAUAUAUAUCAUGGUAACCUAGUAAAGUAAUGUUUCUUUCUUCAGAAAGAGAUGAUUGCUAAGGUUUUUAAAUGAAUAUUCACCAUGAUAAUUGAAGCUCAUGUGUGUUGAUUUUUUUCUCUAUGCCAUAGCAUUAUGAUGAUAUGGCCGAUGCACAUUUGUUACAUCUGUAAUUUAUGUGUAUAUCGUUUUGAUUAUGAAAUAUGUACAGAUCACAUUGACUUAAAAUGAUUGACAAAAAUAACAAAUGAUUAUUCUAAACGGUGGAUCACUUGGCUCGUAAAUCGAUGAAGAACGCAGCUAAUUGCGCGUCAACUUGUGAACUGCAGGACACAUGAACAUCGACAUUUCGAACGCAUAUUGCGGUCUACGGAUCCAAUUCCCAGACCACACUUAGCUGAGGGUCGUAUUUAUCUAUAAAACUGCAUAUUAUUUUUGUAUUAUGCGAAUGUAUUUAAAUGAGUAUUCAUCAUUUAUAUUUAUAUGCAAAUGAUGUUACUUGAAAUUAUAUAAACGAUGAUUAGACAACACAAUUGAAGUUAAUCGUCCGGUCCAUGAGUAAUAAUUGUUUAUUGUAAAUGGGGACGGAUUGAUUUAUAACUUUUAAUUGUAUGUCAUCAUUUUUCUUAUUAGCGACCUCAGAUUAAGUGAGACUACCCGCUGAAUUUAAGCAUAUCAAUAAGCGGAGGA
This 818-nucleotide ribosomal RNA is filed under the name Chelonus blackburni. Its description in RNAcentral is "eukaryotic LSU rRNA". The stretch from base 381 to 535 matches the Rfam family "5.8S ribosomal RNA". Lineage: Eukaryota; Metazoa; Arthropoda; Insecta; Hymenoptera; Braconidae. The record is from RNAcentral.